Molecule: ribosomal RNA, 491 nt
Filed under: uncultured bacterium
Lineage: Bacteria
Description: partial 16S ribosomal RNA
Rfam family: Bacterial small subunit ribosomal RNA
Source: RNAcentral
AGUGAACGCUGGCGGUAGGCCUAACACAUGCAAGUCGAACGGCAGCACAGUAAGAGCUUGCUCUUACGGGUGGCGAGUGGCGGACGGGUGAGGAAUACAUCGGAAUCUACUUUUUCGUGGGGGAUAACGUAGGGAAACUUACGCUAAUACCUCAUACGACCUACGGGUGAAAGCAGGGGAUCUUCGGACCUUGCGCGAUUGAAUGAGCCGAUGUCGGAUUAGCUAGUUGGCGGGGUAAAGGCCCACCAAGGCGACGAUCCGUAGCUGGUCUGAGAGGAUGAGCAGCCACACUGGAACUGAGACACGGUCCAGACUCCUACGGGAGGCAGCAGUGGGGAAUAUUGGACAAGGGGCGCAAGCCUGAUACAGCCAUACCGCGUGGGUGAAGAAGGCCUUCGGGUUGUAAAGCCCUUUUGUUGGGAAAGAAAAGCAGCAGGUUAAUACCCCGCUGUUCUGACGGAACCCAAAGAAUAAGCACCGGCUAACUUCGU